GCACUGCUGAGGAGUCCCACAAUAGAACAAAACGGCCGUCUAGUAC
Schistosoma mansoni is the source of this 46-nucleotide non-coding RNA. Lineage: Eukaryota; Metazoa; Platyhelminthes; Trematoda; Strigeidida; Schistosomatidae. The record is from Rfam.